Molecule: ribosomal RNA, 506 nt
Filed under: uncultured bacterium
Lineage: Bacteria
Description: partial 16S ribosomal RNA
Rfam family: Bacterial small subunit ribosomal RNA
Source: RNAcentral
AGUGAACGCUGGCGGUAGGCCUAACACAUGCAAGUCGAACGGCAGCACAGGAGAGCUUGCUCUCUGGGUGGCGAGUGGCGGACGGGUGAGGAAUACAUCGGAAUCUACUUUUUCGUGGGGGAUAACGUAGGGAAACUUUCGCUAAUACCGCAUACGACCUACGGGUGAAAGCAGGCGACCUUCGGGCCUUGCGCGAUUGAAUGAGCCGAUGUCGGAUGAGCUAGUUGGCGGGGUAAAGGCCCACCAAGGCGACGAUCCGUAGCCGGUCUGAGAGGAUGAUCAGCCACACUGGAACUGAGACACGGUCCAGACUCCUACGGGAGGCAGCAGUGGGGAAUAUUGGACAAUGGGCGCAAGCCUGAUCCAGCCAUACCGCGUGGGUGAAGAAGGCCUUCGGGUUGUAAAGCCCUUUUGUUGGGAAAGAAAUCCAGCUGGCCAAUACCCGGUUGGGAUGACGGUACCCAAAGAAUAAGCACCGGCUAACUACGUGCCAGCCGCCGCAGUAA